Molecule: long non-coding RNA, 952 nt
Organism: Gadus macrocephalus (Pacific cod)
Lineage: Eukaryota; Metazoa; Chordata; Actinopteri; Gadiformes; Gadidae
Exons: 2
Source: RefSeq, a predicted model, not a curated record
CACUUUGAUCUUCAGGGUUUGUGAUGAACACAAUGUGGGGAAAGAGAAAUGUGUUGAACCCCAAAGAAAAAGGAGCAGAUCCCAUCCAAGUCCGCACCUCUGAAGAAAUCUAUCCUGGGUGGUCGGUGUCUCAGAAGCAGCCCCUUUGUGACACUGGUCACUACAAGCAGCUGCAUCCAAAGCUCGUCUGUUCGUCCAUGAACCACUCGGUUCCUUCUGUGGGUGUUCUACCCUUAUAUUCUGUUUCAAACAUGCAUUUCAACUUUACAUAAUUAGUAUAUAAUGUCUCAAAAUAGAAGCCAAUCUUUAGUUGUGCCAAAGGUCUUUGUUCUACCGUUUUCUUUGAAGCCAGUUGCCACCAAUGCUACCAAAAUGUUACCGGACAGCGUUUGUAUACUGUAGGUUGGACAGUGUAUAUACUGUAGGUUUGAUGGUGUAUAAUUGUAUGUUUAUAUGCUGUAGGGUUGGCAGUGUAUAUCUUAUAUGCUGUAGGUUUGACAGUGUUUAUCUAGAUUUAUACUGUAGAUUUGACAGCGUACCGGUACAUAUACUGUAGGUUUGACAGUGUAUAUUUGUAUCUGUAUAUACUGUUGGUUUUACAGUGUGUAAUUGUAUGUGUAUACUGUAGGUUUGAAAGUGUAUAUUUGUAUGUGUAUUUACUAGGGAUGGGCAUUUGGUUAAAUUGUCUUGGUCGAUCUUCGGGAGAAUUAACGAUCAAUUAGCCGAUUAAUCAUUAAUAUUUUAUGUUAAAAUUAAGUAUUUAUAUGCUAUAUUCAAAAUGCAAUGAAAAUACAAAAACGGCGUGUUUUCCCCAUUGGGAUCUUUAUUAUUAGAUGAACGACUCGAUUAUUAGAUGAACGAGUUAAACCGGAUCCGUUCAAUGGUUAUGCGUUACUGUGCUCUGAGCAACGGAGCCUGCAGCUCGGAGCCGGUGGUCAUAAACUAAAAAUGA